UCCCUGGUGGUCCAAUGGCUAGGACUCUGCUCUCCCAAUGCAGGGGGUCUGGGUUCAAUCCUCGGUCAGGAAA
Molecule: transfer RNA, 73 nt
Organism: Ovis aries (sheep)
Lineage: Eukaryota; Metazoa; Chordata; Mammalia; Artiodactyla; Bovidae
Rfam family: tRNA
About the family: Transfer RNA (tRNA) molecules are approximately 80 nucleotides in length.
Source: Rfam